This 329-nucleotide ribosomal RNA is filed under the name Enterobacter hormaechei. RNAcentral describes it as "partial 23S ribosomal RNA". It matches the Rfam family "Bacterial large subunit ribosomal RNA", at positions 911 to 1238 of the family's 2925-position model. Lineage: Bacteria; Pseudomonadati; Pseudomonadota; Gammaproteobacteria; Enterobacterales; Enterobacteriaceae. The record is from RNAcentral.
UGUUUCGGCUAGGGGGCCAUCCCGGCUUACCAACCCGAUGCAAACUACGAAUACCGAAGAAUGUUAUCACGGGAGACACACGGCGGGUGCUAACGUCCGUCGUGAAGAGGGAAACAACCCAGACCGCCAGCUAAGGUCCCAAAGUCAUGGUUAAGUGGGAAACGAUGUGGGAAGGCACAGACAGCCAGGAUGUUGGCUUAGAAGCAGCCAUCAUUUAAAGAAAGCGUAAUAGCUCACUGGUCGAGUCGGCCUGCGCGGAAGAUGUAACGGGGCUAAACCAUGCACCGAAGCUGCGGCAGCGACACUAUGUGUUGUUGGGUAGGGGAGCG